CUUCCCUCAUGCGAUCAUUUCGUACACGAUUGCGUGCCCGUCGUCGCCCGCAGCGACAAGCAUCUUUGGAAGCAUCGCAAGCGCCCGCAGUGCGUUCCGGCCCGCGCCGAGCCCGUACAGCGUCUCUCCGGCGCC
RNAcentral lists this non-coding RNA (135 nucleotides) under Dolichomastix tenuilepis. The record is from RNAcentral. Lineage: Eukaryota; Viridiplantae; Chlorophyta; Mamiellophyceae; Dolichomastigales; Dolichomastigaceae.